This 22-nucleotide microRNA is filed under the name Macaca mulatta (Rhesus monkey). RNAcentral's name for it is "mml-miR-3938-3p". Lineage: Eukaryota; Metazoa; Chordata; Mammalia; Primates; Cercopithecidae. The record is from miRBase by way of RNAcentral.
AAUUCCCUUAUGGAUAAUCUGG